This 253-nucleotide ribosomal RNA is filed under the name uncultured bacterium. RNAcentral describes it as "partial 16S ribosomal RNA". It matches the Rfam family "Bacterial small subunit ribosomal RNA", at positions 524 to 776 of the family's 1533-position model. The record is from RNAcentral.
UACGUAGGGUGCGAGCGUUGUCCGGAAUUAUUGGGCGUAAAGGGCUCGUAGGCGGUUUGUCGCGUCAGGAGUGAAAACUCGGGGCUUAACUCCGGGCCUGCAGUGGGUACGGGCUGACUAGAGUGCGGCAGGGGAGACUGGAAUUCCUGGUGUAGCGGUGAAAUGCGCAGAUAUCAGGAGGAACACCGGUGGCGAAGGCGGGACUCUGGGCCGUAACUGACGCUGAGGAGCGAAAGCGUGGGGAGCGAACAGG